CGCCAAAAACUGGAAUAGACAGCGCACCUUAGAGGACGCUUUAUUACAAAAGCGCACUCUAAAGUGAAGCGAAAAAAUAAGGAGCGAACAACUGGAAUAGACAACGCACUUUAGAGGGAACUUUUGUAAUAAAGCGCCCUCUAAGGUGAAGCGAAAAAAUAAGGAGGAGAUAGAGGGACAACAAUACAUGGCGCUUUUUAGAAAGCG
RNAcentral lists this long non-coding RNA (207 nucleotides) under Lathyrus oleraceus (garden pea). RNAcentral describes it as "Pisum sativum (pea) long non-coding RNA (PSAT_LNC002475)". Lineage: Eukaryota; Viridiplantae; Streptophyta; Magnoliopsida; Fabales; Fabaceae. The record is from RNAcentral.